UACAGAGGCCUCGAGCGUUAGGCGGAAUCACUGGGCUUAAAGCGUGUGUAGGCGGCCUUCUAAGUACCUUGUGAAAUCCCACGGCUCACCCGUGGAACUGCUUGGUAUACUGGUUGUCUUGAGCCUUCUAGGGGCGAGUGGAACAAAUGGUGGAGCGGUGAAAUGCGUAGAUAUCAUUUGGAACGCCAAUGGUGAAAACAACUCGCUGGGGAAGUGCUGACGCUGAGACACGAAAGCCAGGGGAGCGAACGGG
This 253-nucleotide ribosomal RNA is filed under the name uncultured bacterium. Its description in RNAcentral is "partial 16S ribosomal RNA". It matches the Rfam family "Bacterial small subunit ribosomal RNA", at positions 524 to 776 of the family's 1533-position model. The record is from RNAcentral.